Molecule: ribosomal RNA, 469 nt
Filed under: uncultured bacterium
Lineage: Bacteria
Description: bacterial SSU rRNA
Rfam family: Bacterial small subunit ribosomal RNA
Source: RNAcentral
AUUACUCCUACGGGAGGCAGCAGUGAGGAAUAUUGGUCAAUGGGCGCAAGCCUGAACCAGCCAUCCCGCGUGCAGGAAGACGGCGCUAUGCGUUGUAAACUGCUUUUCCAGGGAGAGAAACUUGCGCACGUGUUGCGCAAUUGACGGUACCCUGGGAAUAAGCAUCGGCUAACUCCGUGCCAGCAGCCGCGGUAAUACGGAGGAUGCGAGCGUUAUCCGGAUUCAUUGGGUUUAAAGGGUGCGUAGGCGGACUAUUAAGUCAGUGGUGAAAUCCUGCAGCUUAACUGCAGAACUGCCAUUGAUACUGAUAGCCUUGAGUUUGGUUAAGGUAGGCGGAAUGUGUAAUGUAGCGGUGAAAUGCUUAGAUAUUACACAGAACACCAAUUGCGUAGGCAGCUUACUGAGCCGACACUGACGCUGAGGCACGAAAGCGUGGGGAUCGAACAGGAUUAGAUACCCUGGUAGUCAU